UACGAAGGGGGCUAGCGUUGCUCGGAAUCACUGGGCGUAAAGGGUGCGUAGGCCGCACGGUAAGUCAGAGGUGAAAUCCCGGAGCUCAACUUCGGAAUUGCCUCCGAUACUGCCGUGCUUGAGGACUGGAGAGGAGUCUGGAAUUCACAGUGGAGCAGUGAAAUGCGUAGAUAUUGUGAGGAACACUAGUGGCGAAGGCGAGACUCUGGACAGUUCCUGACGCUGAGGCACGAAGGCCAGGGGAGCAAACGGG
RNAcentral lists this ribosomal RNA (253 nucleotides) under uncultured bacterium. Its description in RNAcentral is "partial 16S ribosomal RNA". It matches the Rfam family "Bacterial small subunit ribosomal RNA", at positions 524 to 776 of the family's 1533-position model. The record is from RNAcentral.